UCUGUGGGAAGGAAAGGCCAGAAGUGACUCCUGCCGUAGCUGCGGCAGGCCUGGAGGCCGUACUGGGACCUGGCCAAAGACCCAGAAGUCCAGCUUUGAAGAAAACCUGGAGAAAGAGAGAGUCACAAAUCAUCUCCAUACUGCAGGAGAUGCAGAAAUGGCAGAAGGCAUCCCUUGGCUGUGACAGUUUCUUGAUCUUCACUUGAUUUUCAUGGUCUUGACACUUUGAGGACUACUGCUCAGGUUUACAGAUGCCAUUUAUGUCCAGAGCUACUGAGGGUGCCAACAGAUGUCGUUUUGUAAGAAAAGCUCCCCAAAAUUCUGUGCAUCGGACUCAUUUAUGCAAUCUCUGCCUACAUUGGGACCCCACUGAAGCCACGACCCCUAAGGCAGGGCUGGACUGCCUUGCAGUGGGAAACAGCCCAAGUGUCCAUCACUAGAGGAAUGCCUGAGUAUACUGAGGCCAGCCUUACUAUAGAGUCCAAGCAGCAAGUGACAAGGAUGAGGUGGCUCUACAUGUGCACGUGUAGAACUGCCCCCAAGACCUUGUGAAAUGCAAAGAAUAUUGAGUAUCACUUUAGAAUAUAUUAAACAACCUAUCAAGAUUAAUGAGCUUAUUCAGAAAAGAAAAUAAGUCCUGAUCAAUUUCAGCGUGUUUGGACCAGCAGAUUCCAGGUGAUGGAUAGGCAGCUUCAUUUUAAUAGUCUGUUGGUACAGGGUGACCUGUAGCCUUUCCAGAAGAGGUAAAAUGAAUCCUCCGGUUGUCACCCCCUCCUUCCUCGCUCCAAUUCCAUCAUUAAUCCCCGUUUGAGGAUUUGAGUGCUGCCGAGGACUGACAGACUCCAUGAGGUUCAGCUGCUGCCUGGUACAUGUGGUCACCUGCAGCUUCUUCAGCCCUACAUAUAUUUUGUGCUGUUUUAGACUGCUCUUUCUUCCAUUAAAUGAGAGAUUAGAUCUGAAUGGCCACGUGAUCUUCUGAGUCCCAUCUGUAAGAAUCUGCAUUUCCACGGAAUUGGGGGAGCAAACGUUCUCAAAACAUUCUUAAAUGCAAACCCGCAGGCACAGCAUGUGUCUGUCAACUCCAAGAGCAUUUGGAUGUUCGAAGGGAGAGGAUGUUUGACAUCUAACCCGUCGUGGAAAGAGGAGCCUCUACAGUGACAUGAAGGCAAUGGAUUCUCAGCAUUACAAGGCAAGACAGAACUUGAAGGAAGAAGGCUGGGAGGAAACCAAUGUUGAAUGAACACUGACUCUGUGCUCAGCCCUGAGCAAGCAGUGGAAUGCCCCUGGGCUGUGAGCCACGAAUUCAAAUCCCAGCUUGUAGAGCUGUUCUGGGGGUUAGAAGUUUGGGGUCCCUCGUUGCUGCACUCGUUCCAGGUUUGGGGCUGGCGCUGCCCUUCUGACCCCUCCCUAAAGUGGACACAGGAGAAGGAGCGGGGAGAAGAGACAGGCGGCCAGGAGACACCCUGUUGAGGGCUCCCUCUGCUUGCAACAGGACCUGCUGAGGUUGCAGCUGAAGUGCUGGUCUUCCCAGAGAAAACAACCCCUCAUUCUCAAAGGAUGAGAGUGAGCCCUGCGGGGCUGCAUGCUCUUGGCCAUGGGAGAUCAACUGUGGUCACAUAGAGUGUAAUCAGUGUGUAUUUAUGGAUCACUCACUACAUGCAAGACCGGGACACAGCCGGGAUUUACUGUGGGGCUGAAAGCAAGUCACUUAAAAAGGUAAAAAUUCAUGUCCUUUUAAUCUACUUUUCAGCAAGGAACAUCACGUCUGAAUGCUCGCGGCCUCUGCCUGCCCCGUGGGAUGGUGCUGGAAAUUAUACUCAUAUUUAGAUAGCAUUCUCUGCAAGUGGCUGCUGUUGUCCUUCCAUCGUCAGCACAGGCAGAUGCUGGGAGUACCCACCUUGGGGUGAGGUGGCAAGAGAGGGCCAGCUUGUAUCCGCCUCGUUGUCGUCCUUCCUUCCUGACUUGACUCUCUCCUCUGUGGCCUUCUCAGGAGUGGGAUGUGGUUGUGAGGAGAAUGUGCACUUUACCCCUCACCAGUCCAGAGAGGGGCACAUAGCCCAAACCUCUCCCCUUCCCAGAAACCUGCAAGUCCCCCUGGGUGCGCCUGUGUGAUGAGGCAGGCUCCGAGAGCCACAGGCUGGUGGGCCACUAGGAAGCAGUAAAGGAAGACAUUUUAUGAUUGUAGCUGGAGAUAAUGAAUUGAAAAGCUGGUCUCUGUUUCUGGAAAUGAUGCCAGGAGGCCCUCAAAAUAAACGCCCACCUGUCCUUCAGGUCUCAACACCUGUUGCUCUUGGGACAGAGAUCCCAGGCCCAAAAUAGGCACAGCUGCUAUGGAUGCUCGUCUUGCCCUCCUGGAGCUGAGACUGGGCCAUGUUUGGAAAUAUGUCUCCCUCCAUCCCCUCCUCCCAUCCUCAUUUGGAGCCUUAGGGCUUUAAGACGUGAGCUCUUUCCUCGCUCCCUCUCCCCAGUCUUUCUUGGGUAUCUCUGCUCCUCCCAUCACCUGUUCCUGGGCAUGGCAUAGGCAGUUGGUAAAUGACAGAUGAAUGAAUACAUGUACAAGGAAACACAGAUCUGAAAUUUCUAGCAGCAAAGUUUGGAGCAGGAAGCUCUGGCUGGCCCUGGGCUUUUUGCUAAGGGUGUUCUGGCUUCGCGUGGCAGCACCCCUCCCCACCGGGCCUUUGCCAGGACGCUCGAUCCUCUCUUCGGGCUUCUGAGCAGUGUGAAUUGCAAACAGCCAUGCCCACUCCCCAGGCCAAGAAAACCAAGUUCAUGGCCAGGAUUGCUCACAAAAAAAAAAAAAAAAAAAGAACCACUUCUGCCUUAUCAUUCUCUCUUUAUUACCGAAAUGCGGAGACAGAAAGUCAACAGAGAAAGAAUUGUUUUCCCCAAGGCCACACAGAUUGCUCCAACACUUGACUUUUCCUGCUAGGAACUCAAUCCAAGAGAUGGGCUUUCUUUUGUUCUCUGACUAUAAAAGGGUGUCACCUUGUCACCAUCUUCUAUCACACAGGACCCCUAUGGGCUUGGUUUGGUUUUGUUCUUUCAUCAUUAUUAUUUGGAAAGUUAUAUUUCCUUUACUGUCCUUGAGGUGUGAGGCUUCACCUCAUCUUGUCUCCAUAUCCCUGAGUCACUAAGGAGUCCUAUGUCAAUGACACCUCUCCAUAUGCUUUACCUAAGCUGCCCCUUCUCUCAGCAAGUUCGCGCCAGGCUUCCCCAUGAAGGCCACCUAAGGGUGUCUAUCGUCCCCCUCCUAAAUCUCCCCAGGACUUUUGAACAAGGGCCAUGUCCAGUUUAAUGUCACACAAAGAAGACUCAUCAAAGCCCAGGAGUUGGGAGUUCUUGCUCCUCACUGCCAUGGAAAGCAUGAAACAUCUGAGAUAAAAAUAAUCUGUGCCAUCCCCUGGCUCCGGAUGGACAGCAGUUGGGGCAUGAGCGCCUCCAGAAUGUCUCAGCAUUGCUGAGGGUAACCGGAUCGCCGCUCAGAUCCAGCAGGCAGCCUCAGAACCUCCCAGCUGCUGUUGUUUUUAGCACCGGGAUUAUUGGUAGGGGUGUAAAUAGACAUCUGUGUUCUGGGUGGCUCGCUCACCCCACAUUCCUAGGCACACUUGUUUUAUUAAAGCUCUCAGCUGUCGGGUGAUCCAGGCGUGGAGAAAUGAAAGGCCGCCCUCACCAGCUGGUGGUGGACUGCAAACUGCAACCAGUUUUCCCCCAUAAGGACAUGUUACUCCUAUUAGAAACUGUGUCCCUCACAUGUCCUUAAGAAGCGGGCCAUCUGCCAAUCAUAAAUCGAGAUCUCAGCCGUUCCAAAUAAAGAAAGAGUCUACCCUCCUUGCUGGCAGUCCUUUUAUAGUUGACAGAUUUUUUUUUUUAAUCUUGUGCUUGGCCAUGUAUUUCUUGUGUAAUUAAAAAAUUAUAAAAGGUAAUAAAAAAUACAAAUCCAAAAAAAAAAAAA
Molecule: long non-coding RNA, 3952 nt
Filed under: Homo sapiens (human)
Lineage: Eukaryota; Metazoa; Chordata; Mammalia; Primates; Hominidae
Description: myosin heavy chain gene cluster antisense RNA (MYHAS)
Source: RNAcentral